RNAcentral lists this ribosomal RNA (482 nucleotides) under uncultured bacterium. RNAcentral's name for it is "partial 16S ribosomal RNA". It matches the Rfam family "Bacterial small subunit ribosomal RNA", at positions 28 to 507 of the family's 1533-position model. The record is from RNAcentral.
GACGAACGCUGGCGGCGUGCUUAACACAUGCAAGUCGAACGCUGAAGCUCAGCUUGCUGGGUGGAUGAGUGGCGAACGGGUGAGUAACACGUGAGUAACCUGCCCUCUUCUUUGGGAUAACGCCCGGAAACGGGUGCUAAUACUGGAUAUUCACUGAUUCUCGCAUGGGGGUUGGUGGAAAGGUUUUUUCUGGUGGGGGAUGGGCUCGCGGCCUAUCAGCUUGGUGGUGGGGUGAUGGCCUACCAAGGUGUUGACGGGUAGCCGGCCUGAGGGGGUGACCGGUCACAUUGGGACUGAGAUACGGGCCAGAGUCCUACGGGAGGCAGCAGUGGGGAAUAUUGCACAAUGGGCGAAAGCCUGAUGCAGCGGCGCCGCGUGAGGGAUGGAGGCCUUCGGGUUGGAAACCUCUUUCGCUCAUGGUCAAGCCGCAGCUUGGGGUUGUGGUGAGGGUAGUGGGUAAAGAAGCGCCGGCUAACUACGUG